This 449-nucleotide ribosomal RNA is filed under the name uncultured Lactobacillus sp. RNAcentral's name for it is "bacterial SSU rRNA". It matches the Rfam family "Bacterial small subunit ribosomal RNA", at positions 31 to 452 of the family's 1533-position model. The record is from RNAcentral. Lineage: Bacteria; Bacillati; Bacillota; Bacilli; Lactobacillales; Lactobacillaceae.
GAACGCUGGCGGCAUGCCUAAUACAUGCAAGUCGAACGAGCUUCCGUUGAUUGAGGUGCUUGCACUGAUUUCAACACCGAAGCGAGUGGCGAACUGGUGAGUAACACGUGGGAAAUCUGCCCAGAAGCAGGGGAUAACACUUGGAAACAGGUGCUAAUACCGCAUAACAACAAGAACCGCAUGGUUCUUGUUUGAAAGGUGGCUUCGGCUAUCACUUCUGGAUGAUCCCGCGGCGUAUUAGUUAGUUGGUGAGGUAAAGGCCCACCAAGACAAUGAUACGUAGCCGACCUGAGAGGGUAAUCGGCCACAUUGGGACUGAGACACGGCCCAAACUCCUACGGGAGGCAGCAGUAGGGAAUCUUCCACAAUGGACGAAAGUCUGAUGGAGCAAUGCCGCGUGAGUGAAGAAGGGUUUCGGCUCGUAAAACUCUGUUGUUAAAGAAGAACAC